AUUGAACGCUGGCGGCAUGCCUUACACAUGCAAGUCGAACGGCAGCACGGGAGCAAUCCUGGUGGCGAGUGGCGAACGGGUGAGUAAUAUAUCGGAACGUGCCCGGUCGUGGGGAUAACGUAGCGAAAGCUACGCUAAUACCGCAUACGAUCUACGGAUGAAAGCGGGGGAGUCGCAAGACCUCGCGCGAUUGGAGCGGCCGAUAUCAGAUUAGGUAGUUGGUGAGGUAAAGGCUCACCAAGCCGACGAUCUGUAGCUGGUCUGAGAGGACGACCAGCCACACUGGGACUGAGACACGGCCCAGACUCCUACGGGAGGCAGCAGUGGGGAAUUUGGACAAUGGGCGCAAGCCUGAUCCAGCAAAUGCCGCGUGCAGGAUGAA
Molecule: ribosomal RNA, 382 nt
Filed under: uncultured bacterium
Lineage: Bacteria
Description: bacterial SSU rRNA
Rfam family: Bacterial small subunit ribosomal RNA
Source: RNAcentral